CUCAAACUCUGAGCUCUUGAAUCAAAAUUAUAUGGUCUGGUAAGGAGAUGUCCAGUGUGUUAUCUAAAGAUGUUAAUUUAUAGUUUGUAAUGGACCAAAGGGCAGAUGAACAGUGUUCAUAUGUUCCGUGCACAUCCCAACCAGCAGGUGGCGCUGAUUAUUAACAAGCUAAAGCAGAAUGAACGCAGAUAAAACGACAGACGAGAAAUAUACUUGUUAUGGAUGUGGAAAUAAGAGAUGGCUAGACCCUUCAGUCACAAUUUAUCAACGCACAAUGUCUAAACUGCAGAUUUUAAGUGUUUUUCUGACAGAGAGAUUAACAUUAGCUGCGCAGGAAAUAUUUAAGGCUGUGGAAGACAUAUUUUCAGAGUAUAAUGAGGAGAUUUGUCGCUCCAGACAGGAGAUUGAGCUGCUCAAGAGGAGACUGCAGCAGGCAGGAGUUCAGCUGGACUCUGAAACGCAGCCUUGCUCUUCCGAGACUCAAGGACAGAAAUACACCCAGACAUUUUCAGAGAAAUGGACAUCUGACCAUGACUUGAAAGAUACAGAGAUGCACAUGAAACUAGAAGUUUAUACACAGCCCGAGGAGAACGAAGAGGACAUGCCUGUGUGCGGUGAAUCAGCAUCUUUAUCACCAUGUAUGGACAUUUAUCAUGAUCAGACGCCCAGCAAAGACACUGAAACCCAAGUGAUGGACAGUUGUAGUGAGAAUAAUUUUCCCUUUAUUAACAAAGCAGCUCAAAUAAAGAACGAGCCUGAGACUAAUACUGAAACCGGUACCACCUGUCAAAUACAGCAGAACAUCACGAAACAAGAUUUGGAUGAUUCAGGGGCCAGUGAUGCUUCCAGUGACGUCAACAAAGUCAAAGUUAGCCACGGUGGCUUCCCCAGACAUGAGACACAAACAUUUAAUCUGCCCCUUAGAAAUCAAGAGAUGCUGACGAAGCAUCGGAUGGAGCUGGCCCAGAUAAGAGCAAGAUAUCAAAGACGAAAAUCUCAGGGGAAAGUGAAAUUCGCUAAAGAUCUGAACCCAAUAGAACUGAGAAGGCAGCAGAAAAAGUGGAGGGAGAAU
Cyprinus carpio (common carp) is the source of this 1072-nucleotide long non-coding RNA. The record is from Ensembl. Lineage: Eukaryota; Metazoa; Chordata; Actinopteri; Cypriniformes; Cyprinidae.